UGAUGAGGCUUAAAAACAUGACCAUGUGGAGUUGUUAACUGGAAAGAAAAACGUAACUUCUGAAGGUGGUUAGCAGAGAGUGAAACAACAUCAUUUCCAGCCAAAUCUAGCCUGGACAGGUAAACGGUAGUUGAUAAUAAACAAAUCACCAUAAGGAAGUAUUAUAAACAUAAAUAUGGCACUGAGAUAUAAAUUUCUAACGAGUUCAGACUUCAAAGUUCAAAUACAUGAUAAAAUGACAAUGUGACAUGCUAGUCAGUAAUCACCAUACAGACACAUACGUUUUCCGAGUUUCAACACUUCCAAGAUCACUGUCAAGAAUUGCAAUUUCUGCAUUGCUAACUUCAAUAAUUCCAGUAACAUAAAUUGGCACAUGGAUUUGGCCUCCAGUAGCAUAGUCCUUUUUACUGUCAGAGUCAAGAAGCACAAUCUACAAAAUAGGGUUAAAUAUUAUAACGGACAAGUGGAUACUAAUACACAUUGAUGCAAAUGAAAUGAAAAACAAAUCACUGAACUAAACAAACAUGAAUACCUCAAAAACAAAAACAUAUGCCCCCACAUCUACAUUCUUUGGGAAAAUAUCCAAGACAUGAAGUCCACUUUUUUGGUCAUACUGGAGCUCCUGUCACGUGCAAAAUAGAAAACACUUGUUUUGACAAAUAAUACUGGGAAACUAAAUGAUCAUAUUAAAGGGGGAAAUAUUCUCAAGCCUCGUCCCUUAGAAGAGGCCAUUGACUUAUCACUCACCUUGCUCUCAAUUAUAGCUGAAUCUUUUGCACCAGUGCUGAAAGCUCGGACAAGCUUAACUGUUAGAGGUGGUGCAGUUGAACCAAGUGCAGUAGUCACUCUAACCUGAUUUUGUAAUAGAUAUUAGUCAUAUUUUCUCAACAGUGGAUAAGUAGAAAUCAUAAGACUGUAAAGAGGCGACAGCAGAGAAUUAAAAUUGCUUGGCUGAGUGGAGAGAUGAUGCAUGCAGAUAAUAAUGUGGUAAUGCAUGAAGAUGAAUCAACAAACAAUAAAUGGAGAAAGGCAACUAGAGUGCGUAAUAGAACUUUUUCUAUUAUUAAUUUAUUAUUGAUAAUAAAUGGGCUAAUGAUAACAAGUACUAUCCUAUGGUGACAAAGGACGCAUAAACAAAACUAUAAACUGCAUUAGCAAGAUUAUGACAGGAAAGAGUGCUAAAUUAUAAGGUUAUAAGAUGGAUGGGACGAAAUGGAAUACAACCAAAGGGCUAACUAUAUGUCACUGACUAUUUUCUACGUUUCUUUUGUUGAAUAAGAACUCCGACUGUCUUGAUAGGCAACUAGGACAGGAAACCAAUGUAUAAAGUACACCAUCAACUACUCAUGUCAUAUCCCAAAUUUAAGAAAAAACAUCUAGCUGUUAUAGACCAACUCUCCUAAUAGCCUAAGUGAUUAGGUGGAGGCACAUGAUUGGUGAUAUAUAUCUAAACCGCCACCUAAAACACGAGCUAUUCAAGCUUGAAACAUGAACAACAAUGGCCCACCUACAUUGCACUGAAAUUCAACUUCUUGGGCAACUAGGAUCAAACUCUACACCACUUGGUCAUAGAGGCCAUGAUACCAUGUCAUGAACCAUUGAACCAUCUUUAGCAAAGCUUAAGCUAUUAGUGGAGAUACAUAAUUGUUUUAUAUUUCCAACAAAACCUAAUUAUGUAACAGUGGCGAAAUAAGGACUUAAAAUACAAUAUAAAUAGUUAAAUACCUUAAGCUGGUCUUUCUUGGUCAGGGAAUAAACUGUUUCAGGGAGUGACAAUAUUAAUGGGAUAGAAAUCCUACAUCAAACAAAAAACCAGAGUUAAAUAUUGUUGCUGAAUAUUAUGAAGAGGUUAAUAGAUCAGCGAAGUAACAGAAGAAAAGGAAAAAUUUGCCACACAACUGAAAACUGAACAAUAGAUUGUUCUUUAGAUUAAAGGUGUAAUAUAUUAUAAUCAGUACAUAACUUUACCAUUCGAUGAUGCACUUGAUUUUUAGUCAGAAUAAUAUGUGCUAUUAAGCUAAUGGCCAUUUAUUACACAAUGUGAUAAAUUGAACAAGUGCUGAAGAAGAAAACUCUGAACCCAGAAAAUAAAAUAUAUGAUAACAGAUACUUAACAAGAACUAUCUCAAACUUCUUGUUGGUAUUUCCAACCACGAAGAUGUGUUCAACUUCUGUCUCGUGUCUCAACUUCAAAAAUGCCUGCAAAACAACAAAACCGUCAAUAAACAGAGUAUUGAGAUGACAUUAAUUCAAAAGGUCCAAGAGCCAAUUACGAACCUGAUGAGGCUUAAAAACAUGACCAUGUGGAGUUGUUAACUGGAAAGAAAAACGUAACUUCUGAAGGUGGUUAGCAGAGAGUGAAACAACAUCAUUUCCAGCCAAAUCUAGCCUGGACAGGUAAACGGUAGUUGAUAAUAAACAAAUCACCAUAAGGAAGUAUUAUAAACAUAAAUAUGGCACUGAGAUAUAAAUUUCUAACGAGUUCAGACUUCAAAGUUCAAAUACAUGAUAAAAUGACAAUGUGACAUGCUAGUCAGUAAUCACCAUACAGACACAUACG
This 2560-nucleotide long non-coding RNA is filed under the name Lupinus angustifolius (narrow-leaved blue lupine). RNAcentral describes it as "long non-coding RNA (LANG_LNC001842)". Lineage: Eukaryota; Viridiplantae; Streptophyta; Magnoliopsida; Fabales; Fabaceae. The record is from RNAcentral.